CGGGUGAGUAAUGCGUGACCAACCUGCCCCAUGCUCCAGAAUAGCUCUUGGAAACGGGUGGUAAUGCUGGAUGCUCCAACUUGACGCAUGUCUUGUUGGGAAAGUGUUUAGUGGCAUGGGAUGGGGUCGCGUCCUAUCAGCUUGUAGGCGGGGUAAUGGCCCACCUAGGCUUCGACGGGUAGCCGGCCUGAGAGGGCGGACGGCCACAUUGGGACUGAGAUACGGCCCAGACUCCUACGGGAGGCAGCAGNA
Molecule: ribosomal RNA, 252 nt
Filed under: uncultured Gardnerella sp.
Lineage: Bacteria; Bacillati; Actinomycetota; Actinomycetes; Bifidobacteriales; Bifidobacteriaceae
Description: partial 16S ribosomal RNA
Rfam family: Bacterial small subunit ribosomal RNA
Source: RNAcentral